Oncorhynchus tshawytscha (Chinook salmon) is the source of this 1118-nucleotide long non-coding RNA. NCBI's taxonomy places the organism in Eukaryota, Metazoa, Chordata, Actinopteri, Salmoniformes, Salmonidae. The record is from Ensembl.
GCUGCACAUAGGUGGAACAGGUAGUCUGCCUAGAACGUUCUGCUGCCCAGAGGUGGAACAGGAAGUCUGCCUAGAACGUUCUGCUUCCCAGAGGUGGAACAGCGAGUCUGCCAAGAACAUUCUGCUUCCUAGAGGUGAAACAGGUAGUCUGCCUACUUGCAUGAUCAUUGGAAAGUGAAAUAGCAGUUGGUCGGGUCUGUUUGUAGUUGAACACAGAUUGUGUCUCAGCCCCGUUGUGGGGACUUACAUGCAGCAUAUCGAGCGACUGCAGACGGAGAAGUUUUUUUUUUUUAUAGCCUUCGAUAUAUAUACUUUUUUGGGGAGACGCUCGUUCACAUCACAGCAGGGUUUAUUUAUUUCAACUGUUCAGAAAUAGGAGAAAGACGGGCUACGUCGUUAUGGUACAGAAGAGGGUAAAGAGAGAAACGUUAAGGGGAGUGUGAGCAGACGCCACGUGUAUAAAAUAACACGCUGAACGUAAUGCGGAUCCGAGGCUUUGAGACAGAGGUUUCCGAUGAGGCGCGGCAGGGGGGCAAACUCUCCUUAUCGGCAGCCAGGGCCUGUUGUGAUGAAUCUCUGUUGUGAUGAAUCUCCGUAUCUCCAGCCAGGGCCUGUUGUGAUGAAUCUCUGUUGUGAUGAAUCUCUGUAUCUCCAGCCAGGGCCUGUUGUGAUGAAUCUCUGUUGUGAUGAAUCUCUGUAUCUCCAGCCAGGGCCUGUUGUGAUGAAUCUCUGUUGUGAUGAAUCUCCGUAUCUCCAGCCAGGGCCUGUUGUGAUGAAUCUCUGUAUCUCCAGCCAGGGCCUGUUGUGAUGAAUCUCUGUUGUGAUGAGUCUCUGUAUCUCCAGCCAGGGCCUGUUGUGAUGAAUCUCUGUUGUGAUGAGUCUCUGUAUCUCCAGCCAGGGCCUGUUGUGAUGAAUCUCUGUUGUGAUGAAUCUCUGUUGUGAUGAAUCUCUGUAUCUCCAGCCAGGGCCUGUUGUGAUGAGUCUCUGUAUCUCCAGCCAGGGCCUGUUGUGAUGAAUCUCUGUUGUGAUGAGUCUCUGUAUCUCCAGCCAGGGCCUGUUGUGAUGAGUCUCUGUAUCUCCAGCCAGGGCCUGUUGUGAUGAGUCUCUGUAUCUCCAGC